Molecule: ribosomal RNA, 228 nt
Filed under: uncultured bacterium
Lineage: Bacteria
Description: partial 16S ribosomal RNA
Rfam family: Bacterial small subunit ribosomal RNA
Source: RNAcentral
CACGCACGUAAACGAUGCGCGCACUAGGCUGUGGGGAGGAGUUGACCCCCUCCGUGCCGGAGCCAACGCGGGAAGUCGGCCGCCUGGGGAGUACGGCCGCAAGGCUAAAACUCAAAGGAAUUGACGGGGGCCCGCACAAGCGGCGGAGCGUGCGGUUUAAUUCGACGCAACGCGUAGAACCUUACCAGGGCUUGACAUGCGCCUGCAUCCUCCUGAAAGGGAGUGGCC